AGAAACCAGUUAUAUUUGAACAUAAAUAAACAACUAAUUUUUAGUGUAAGUAUAUCCCACAUAUUAUAUGGGACCUACUUAUGCUAAAAUUUUCUUCAUUGUUUUACUGAAAUUUAACUG
This 120-nucleotide microRNA precursor is filed under the name Tupaia belangeri (northern tree shrew). Its description in RNAcentral is "miRNA (ENSTBEG00000020185.1)". The record is from RNAcentral. Lineage: Eukaryota; Metazoa; Chordata; Mammalia; Scandentia; Tupaiidae.